AAGUUCCUGGAAUAUGCGUUGAGACAUUUUAAUUGAACCUACAUAUUUUUAUUGGGAAUCUGAGCUUCAUAGAUGGAUGUCAGGCCUCCUUGAGGGGAAGACAAAAGCUUGAAUAAGAUACCCACCUUAUCUACAGAUAGGGCGUCAAUUAACAUUCUUAACGGUAUUUCGGGAUUUUU
Molecule: non-coding RNA, 179 nt
Filed under: Clostridiales bacterium
Lineage: Bacteria; Bacillati; Bacillota; Clostridia; Eubacteriales
Description: 6S RNA
Rfam family: 6S / SsrS RNA
About the family: E. coli 6S RNA was the first non coding RNA to be sequenced, but its function was unknown until recently.
Source: RNAcentral